Molecule: long non-coding RNA, 284 nt
Filed under: Lepidothrix coronata (blue-crowned manakin)
Lineage: Eukaryota; Metazoa; Chordata; Aves; Passeriformes; Pipridae
Description: lncRNA (ENSLCOG00000014079.1)
Source: RNAcentral
GGUGUCAGUGGUCGUUUUUCAUGACCUGCUUCGUUUAAAGCAUUGGUCUGAAGUCAAUGUUGAGAUAUCCACCAAGCUACCCAGUCACAUCUGGUGUAAUUUUAUAUUGCUUUUGGAGGAUGAAAUACCACUCAGUUUUCUUGCUGCACGAGAUGAGAACACUAAUGCUGCAGCAGUGGGCAGAUUUAAUUUUUUGGGGAGCAUUUGAUUUAUUAUGGCUGUUUGCUGGCCUGCUGAUUCACAAAUCUGUCAGUUCAGUGAAUUUCUGUUCAACGUGGGAGUGA